UUCAAAGUGGUGCAAAGAGUCAAGUGGGCAUUAAAAUUGUUAAAUAAGUUAGGCAACAUUUUCUCAUUCAUAUGGUGAUUGGUGUAUUUAUAAUAGACGAUGGACCAAAGAAAAUAAUGCUUUUAAUGAUGUAAUAUAGAAUUCAUGAUUGCGAAAGGGACUCUCACUAUCAAUGGAAAUGAAAACUCUUUAAGCCUAUGCACAUGUCAAAAUCAUUUUCAGAACAAAGAAUUGUGGUUAAAGACGUCACCUUUAAGGAUAUGUGUAGUCCUCUUGAUGCUAACACUUAAGAUGCGACCAAAAUUCACUACCAACAGUUUACAGCACUUCCUGUUCAAUUUCUCAGCUACAAUUGUGUGUAUCAGAAGUCACUUCAUUCUCAAGUUCUUUAAUCAGCUUUUCAAUUCGUCUUCUAUAAGCCGGCAUAAAAUGGUCGUUUAUCAUGGUAUGCGAUAGCCUUAAUUUACUAUACAAUGACCUGGGAGUGAGAAAAAUUCCAACCUUCGCCUCUUCCUCCGGCUGGCUUUGGUCCCCGUCAUUGGAAAUACUGCUAUCACUCUCACGGCCCACUUCGUCGGAUGUUAGUGUCACAAUAUGCAUUAUCUUUCCCGGAGGGAAAAAUCUAUGCACCUCCUUGGCAUCUGGGAUAGAGCUUUGGGUCUGGCUGUCACUUACUUCUGCAAUGGCUGCUUCUUCUUCUUCCCUAAUUUCCUUGGCCACAUCGGCUUCACCACUAUCAGCUUGCUCAUUAAGCUUGAGCUCGAGUUGUUCCCACAACUCUAUUUCCAUUGUGUGAUCUUCAUGCCUUACAUCAUACGCAACCUCGUCAUCAUCAUCCUUAGUAGCCAUACUAUCUGAGACACCAACCUCAUCUAUAAAGUUGUCUGAACUCUCAACCAUUCCAUCAGAAGAAGAUACAGGAAGUUCCAUAUUUUCAAUAGCCGUUCUUGUCUCUUCAGUGGUCGUGAGAAAAGGCUCCGAAGUUUCUCUUUGAGUUGAAGAAGAUCCUGAUGAGUCUUCUCCUUCAUUAUAAUUUAUCUGAGCAAUUGAGGAUCGACGACGUGGACCUAUGCAUGACCAUGAGCGUAGGUAAGGGCGUGACCAAGCUGCCUGAGCCAUGCUUUGUGCUCUCUUCAUAACAACCUAGUUAACACAACAACAUCAGUCCUAUAUAAUAGAACUAAAUACAUCUGGAAUUAUAAAGAUCAAAAAGUAUACAUAGGCACAUAUGGUUAAAGGUAAUACCACCCCUCACAUUAUGAAGC
This 1265-nucleotide long non-coding RNA is filed under the name Olea europaea subsp. europaea. Lineage: Eukaryota; Viridiplantae; Streptophyta; Magnoliopsida; Lamiales; Oleaceae. The record is from RNAcentral.